UGGGGGCACCUGCUGGAGCGACGCCGCGUGGAGGACGAAGGUUUUCGGAUUGUAAACUCCUGUCAUGAGAGAACAAAGCCAGCAAUGGUCUGAUAGUAUCUCAAGAGGAAGGGACGGCUAACUCUGUGCCAGCACCCGCGGUAAUA
RNAcentral lists this ribosomal RNA (146 nucleotides) under uncultured bacterium. RNAcentral describes it as "partial 16S ribosomal RNA". It matches the Rfam family "Bacterial small subunit ribosomal RNA", at positions 372 to 525 of the family's 1533-position model. The record is from RNAcentral.